GGGGAAGUGUCGGAAUGGUAGACGAGCAUGAUUUAGGAUCAUGUGGAGAAAUCCGUGAGAGUUCGAGUCUCUCCUUCCCCA
Molecule: transfer RNA, 81 nt
Filed under: Chloroflexi bacterium ADurb.Bin180
Lineage: Bacteria; Bacillati; Chloroflexota
Also listed under: 1 other name
Description: tRNA-Leu
Rfam family: tRNA
About the family: Transfer RNA (tRNA) molecules are approximately 80 nucleotides in length.
Source: RNAcentral